UUAGAACACGGAAAUAAAAAUUCAAAUCCCAGAAGGGAACAAACCAGAAAUAACACCAACUCAAACAAAGCUCACUAUGUUAUAGAGAUCUCCCUACAACCGCUCAGUCUACCACUGAAACCAGAUAAGAAGAUCCCCAAAGACGGAUUAACCAACAAGAAAGAGAAGAUGAUAGAAGGGAGGAAAAAGUCCACUUCAAAGCCUGAACUGAAAAGACGACACGAAACUAAGUAUGCUGAA
Molecule: long non-coding RNA, 240 nt
Organism: Telopea speciosissima
Lineage: Eukaryota; Viridiplantae; Streptophyta; Magnoliopsida; Proteales; Proteaceae
Exons: 4
Source: RefSeq, a predicted model, not a curated record